Molecule: long non-coding RNA, 257 nt
Filed under: Physcomitrium patens
Lineage: Eukaryota; Viridiplantae; Streptophyta; Bryopsida; Funariales; Funariaceae
Description: long non-coding RNA (PPAT_LNC006245)
Source: RNAcentral
UUUUAGUCCUAAACACCCAUUUACAACCACAUUAGAUCGAUUUGGUGGAAUAGGUGUCAAUUUCCAUGUAUCAUUGUCCAUAAGAGAUUGGUACUCUUCUUCCAUAGCCUUCUCCCACUUGAUUGCAUCUUCACACUUCAUAGCAUCAUACAAUGACAAUGGAUCAGCAAGAAGAGCAAUAUUUGCAUUUUCUUCACUUACUUGAGGGAAGAUGUGAUUCUUCCACCAUUUGCCACAUUGCCUUCUUUCUCUCAAAG